Molecule: ribosomal RNA, 253 nt
Filed under: uncultured bacterium
Lineage: Bacteria
Description: partial 16S ribosomal RNA
Rfam family: Bacterial small subunit ribosomal RNA
Source: RNAcentral
UACGUAGGUGGCGAGCGUUGUCCGGAAUUACUGGGCGUAAAGCGCACGUAGGCGGCUUUGUAAGUUAGAGGUGAAAGCCCGGGGCUCAACUCCGGAAUUGCCUUUAAGACUGCAUCGCUUGAACACGGGAGAGGUGAGUGGAAUUCCGAGUGUAGAGGUGAAAUUCGUAGAUAUUCGGAAGAACACCAGUGGCGAAGGCGGCUCACUGGACCGUUGUUGACGCUGAGGUGCGAAAGCGUGGGGAGCAAACAGG